Molecule: ribosomal RNA, 524 nt
Filed under: uncultured bacterium
Lineage: Bacteria
Description: partial 16S ribosomal RNA
Rfam family: Bacterial small subunit ribosomal RNA
Source: RNAcentral
UGGGGAAUUUUGGACAAUGGGCGCAAGCCUGAUCCAGCCAUGCCGCGUGCGGGAAGAAGGCCUUCGGGUUGUAAACCGCUUUGUCAGGGAAGAAAUCUUCUGAGUUAAUACCUCGGGAGGAUGACGGUACCUGAAGAAUAAGCACCGGCUAACUACGUGCCAGCAGCCGCGGUAAUACGUAGGGUGCAAGCGUUAAUCGGAAUUACUGGGCGUAAAGCGUGCGCAGGCGGUUUUGUAAGACGGAGGUGAAAUCCCCGGGCUCAACCUGGGAACUGCCUUUGUGACUGCAAGGCUUGAGUGCGGCAGAGGGGGGAUGGAAUUCCGCGUGUAGCAGUGAAAUGCGUAGAUAUGCGGAGGAACACCGAUGGCGGAAAGGCCAAAUCCCCCUGGGGCCUGCACUGACGCUCAUGCACAAAGCGUGGGGAGCAAACAGGAUUAGAUACCCUGGUAGUCCACGCCCUAAACGAUGUCAACUGGUUGUUGGGAAGGUUCCUUCUCAGUAACGUAGCUAACGCGUGAAGCUG